Carlito syrichta (Philippine tarsier) is the source of this 102-nucleotide unclassified non-coding RNA. It matches the Rfam family "Y RNA". From Rfam's summary of the family: Y RNAs are components of the Ro ribonucleoprotein particle (Ro RNP), in association with Ro60 and La proteins. The Y RNAs and Ro60 and La proteins are well conserved, but the function of the Ro RNP is not known. In humans the RNA component can be one of four small RNAs -- hY1, hY3, hY4 and hY5. Lineage: Eukaryota; Metazoa; Chordata; Mammalia; Primates; Tarsiidae. The record is from Ensembl.
GGCUGGUCCAAGUGCAGUGGUGUUUAACACUAAUAGAUCACAACCAGUUACAAAUUUCCUUGUUUCUUCUCCACUCCCACUGCUUCACUUGACUAGCCUUUA